GCUGGGCAUGGUGGCGCAUGCCUGUAAUCCCAGCUACUCAGGAGGCUGAGGCAGGAGAAUCUCUUGAACCCGGGAGACAGAGGUUGCAGUGAGCCCAGAUCCCACCACUGCACUCCAGCCUGGGUGACGGAGUGAGACUCUGUCUCAA
Molecule: non-coding RNA, 148 nt
Filed under: Gorilla gorilla gorilla (western lowland gorilla)
Lineage: Eukaryota; Metazoa; Chordata; Mammalia; Primates; Hominidae
Source: Rfam by way of RNAcentral